UGCAGCACCCAUAUCACCAUGCAGCCCAAAGACUGACUACCCAAUAAAGCUAAAGCAGGCCUGCGCCUGGUCUGCCUGGAUGGGAGACCACAUGGGAAAGCUAGGUUGCUGUUGGAA
RNAcentral lists this ribosomal RNA (117 nucleotides) under Danio rerio (zebrafish). The record is from RNAcentral. Lineage: Eukaryota; Metazoa; Chordata; Actinopteri; Cypriniformes; Danionidae.